GUGGGGAAUCUUAGACAAUGGGGGAAACCCUGAUCUAGCCAUGCCGCGUGAUCGAUGAAGGCCUUAGGGUUGUAAAGAUCUUUCAGGUGGGAAGAUAAUGACUGUACCACCAGAAGAAGCCCCGGCUAACUCCGUGCCAGCAGCCGCGGUAAUACGGAGGGGGCUAGCGUUGUUCGGAAUUACUGGGCGUAAAACGCACGUAGGCGGAACAGAAAGUCAGAGGUGAAAUCCCAGGGCUCAACCUUGGAACUGCCUUUGAAACUCCUGUUCUUGAGGUCGAGAGAGGUGAGUGGAAUUCCGAGUGUAGAGGUGAAAUUCGUAGAUAUUCGGAGGAACACCAGUGGCGAAGGCGGCUCACUGGCUCGAUACUGACGCUGAGGUGCGAAAGCGUGGGGAGCAAACAGGAUUAGAAACCCUUGUAGUCC
RNAcentral lists this ribosomal RNA (425 nucleotides) under uncultured bacterium. RNAcentral's name for it is "partial 16S ribosomal RNA". It matches the Rfam family "Bacterial small subunit ribosomal RNA", at positions 354 to 796 of the family's 1533-position model. The record is from RNAcentral.